RNAcentral lists this transfer RNA (60 nucleotides) under Proasellus grafi. RNAcentral describes it as "transfert RNA-P(CCA)". The record is from RNAcentral. Lineage: Eukaryota; Metazoa; Arthropoda; Malacostraca; Isopoda; Asellidae.
CAGAAAAUAGUUUAUAUAAAAUAAUAGUUUUGGAGAUUAUAGAAGUUAAGGCUUUUCUGA